CUCCCUCACAUCCCCCUCACACCUCCCAGAGCCCUUCUCAUCCCCUCACAGGAUCACAGAAUGGUUCAGGAAGGACAAUUUCAGACUGUCAGAAGGGCAUCCCUAAAGGGGCAGCUAGAGGGCACAGACCUGCAAUAAUGAGUGCAACUGUCUCUCCUUCCCUAAAAGGGGAAAAAAAAAAAGACUGAAAUAAAGAACUGAAAUCUUCUCUCAGCUUUGGCUGUGCUCCCACAGCAUGGACAAGCAACUUCCAUCACCAAUUUCAGACAGUCUGGACUUGGGAGCCCAGUCCGAUCCAAGCAGCAGUGGGGCAAUACUAGAGUAGGAGAAUAGAAAGUCCGUGGUCUGGGAAGGCACAGAGGUAAACCAGAGAAGAGGAAAAGACAGGAGCCUGAGGCCAGAGAGAAGAGAAGGCUGAUAAGGAGCUGCAGCCCAUACAGCAGACACAGGCCAGGCAAACAAAUGCCUUUUCCAGGAAAUGAUCACAGAGUGUCCAAGAGGGAACUUACCUCAUCCAAAGGCUUUGUAUCAGACGGUCCUGACCUGAGCCUUUGAGACAUAAGCCUGAUGGCUGAGGUCUAAAGGAGAAAGCAAACCUCAUGCAGAAAGCUCUAAAAGGAUGGCAGCCUGCAAAGAGGAAGCAAACAGCUGAAGUCUGAAUGUAGGGAAAAGAUGUAAGGAAAUGGAUUAACAGUUAUGUGCAAGGCAGGCAUCUGAAAGACACUGGAUUUACAUUUAAGCUUUUCAUAUUUGGAGAAUUUCUGUUUAGAAAAAAAAAAAAAACAGACAUGUGUAAAGGGAGGAAAUACACAGUUACUAUAACACAAAAUAACCCUGAGCCAAUUCACCAAGCCAAAACAGCCCUGGAGGGACUGGUCUGUCUGGUCUUUCACAGAUUGUAGCUUUAGGGCAUGAAACACAC
This is a long non-coding RNA of Lepidothrix coronata (blue-crowned manakin), 922 nucleotides long. RefSeq lists it as uncharacterized. The transcript has 3 exons. The record is from RefSeq and is a predicted model, not a curated record. NCBI's taxonomy places the organism in Eukaryota, Metazoa, Chordata, Aves, Passeriformes, Pipridae.